UACGACGUUGAUAGGCUGGGUGUGUAAGCGCAGCAAUGCGUUCAGCUAACCAGUACUAAUUGCCCGUGAGGCUUGACCAU
Molecule: ribosomal RNA, 80 nt
Filed under: Gammaproteobacteria bacterium
Lineage: Bacteria; Pseudomonadati; Pseudomonadota; Gammaproteobacteria
Description: partial 23S ribosomal RNA
Rfam family: Bacterial large subunit ribosomal RNA
Source: RNAcentral